RNAcentral lists this long non-coding RNA (2530 nucleotides) under Mus musculus (house mouse). RNAcentral describes it as "predicted gene, 19522 (Gm19522)". Lineage: Eukaryota; Metazoa; Chordata; Mammalia; Rodentia; Muridae. The record is from RNAcentral.
GAAAGGCAAACGUUCCAUGCCCUCAAGCUGAUGACUCUCAAGUGAACUGUACAGUAACCGAGAAGCUUGAUCCUGGAGUAGAAGAGAUGUUAUGGAGCCAAAAUCAAGCAUAGUUUUCCCUGAGUUGAGUGCAGAACCAGCAGAGUAUUUGUCAAUGUGUCCAUUACCACAGGAGGACAGAGUCCCAGAAAAAGUCCCACUUCUAAGCCCUUGAAGGCGGCUUUGAACAACUGCUGUGGUACAUACCACAUGCUCAACAGUAAUACAGGUUGACAGAUCCACCUGUCUGCUCCCCAGCGGUCCUGCUCAGCUUUUGGACAUGAGCGCUGAAGAUCCAAACUCAGCCUGCUUUCUUAUUCAACCCAGGACCACUCACUCACACAUCGGUCUCACCACCCACAAUGGGCUUCAUCCCGACCCUUCAAUCAUGAAUCUCAAGAAAAUGCUCCAUAGACAUGCCCACAGGUCGAUCUGAUGAAGGCAAUUCCACAAUAGAGGUUUCUCUUUCCAGUCUGGAAACCCCAUUGCAGCACCUCCUGAUUCCUGCACAGGUGAAGCAGCACUGGCCAGCGUCUUAGGAGACUCCACACACAGCGUCUCCCCUCUGCGGAAAUGUGCCCUUUCUCUUUAGACGCUCAUCUCAUGCAUUUUAGAAUGGAAAACUGUUCUCAUACUGUCUGUAAAGGUGUGGUCCUUCUUUCAGUCAAGAGCACAAAUCAGUAAACCCUUUCAAGUCACACACUGAUUCUUACAGUUCUCAGAGCUGAGUAUUUUAGUACUUUAGUAUUUAACUACACACAUCUGCUCUAAUUCUUCCCUUUGUAAUUCUCGGCACUCACAAGUUGGAUUUCAAUAGCCUCCAAAUUCGACCAUCUUUAUUCAACAUUUUCAUGUUUUAUCUUUGUUCUCUAAGAGCUUUGAUGUAUUUCUCGGCCUUCUAGUUCAUUGAUUCAUAUUUCAACAAGGACAGUGUUCUUUGACUCAUCCGUUGAUUUAUUCAUCUGAGAUGUUUCUUAAUACCUAAAACUCAUUAUUUGACUUUCUUUUUGGUGAUCCCCCCACUUUUUUUUCCCAAACCUGAGUUUCAUUUACUUUUGCCAACAGUAAGCAGUAACUUGAGCAGUGUAGUCUGACUUUCCCACGUGACCUCCCUCUUGCCCUUGUUACCAUGCCCUGCAAUCUGAUAGUUUCUGUUGCUAUGUCACUGGCUCUUAGCACUGGUUGCUGGAGUACCCUAAAGGGCAGAAAUACUGCAAGGGUGAAAAGCAGAUGUUCUGUCAAUUCCCUGCCAAGAUACAUAGAGAACAAUGUCUGCCCUCUAUCUCUGCUUGCUCAGCCCUGGAGACAGAAAAGAUGCUGUUAAGCUACUCUAGUGUGGGAGUUUUGAAGACAUAACAUGAAUAAAAACUGACCACAGGGGUCCAGAGACUUCUGGAGCCCAAAUUUUCCUUACAACAUCUGCUGCAUUUUUGAUACGUAUCCUGAGCACUUUUCUCUUAAUUGCGUGCUCAACUAAAGGAGGAAAUUUUUCAGAAUAAUGUUACCUGCCCAAGGUGCCAUGUCUACUGUUCUCAUAUCUCAACAGUCAUUUCAUUCACAAAGAGAAGCAUCUCAUAAUUAAAAAUAAAAAGGAAAAAAACCUCAUACGGGUCAGCUUGAUUUUAAAAUUCUCAAAUGAACAGAAGCCUGGGAGCGGGUUGAGGGACUAUAGAUCUGAAGUGGGUUUGAAUAUUGUAAGCAUUCCCUCAAAUCAGCAGCUUGCCCAGUAAGCUGAACACAGUAUAGAAAAACAAUGAUGUGUUUUACAUAUGUCCUCAAAAACACAUCUUAAACUACGCUGCAGCUACCCGUCAUCCUAGGCAAGCAUUAGUGGAAUAUCACUCCUAGCUAUUCCAGGACACAAUUAUCUUUUGUUUUAACACAACUUCAAACCAAUUUUCUGUGAUUUCAGUUAGAAGAAAAACAAAUUGUAACUUUGGGCAAUCAGAUACAUUUCUCAAAUAUACUAGCAAGCCAUGCAUAUGUUAAAAGCAUGCCAGCUACUAUACAGAAGUUCAAACGAAUAUUCCCCCACAUGGUUUACACAGCCUAGACACCAAUCAAUAUUGGUUUUGAUUAACUGUGUUUUUGCUCUCUGAAUAUCACAAAUGGUAAGGUGUUUAAUUGGGGACAGUUUCUAAAUAACUCAGACUAUAAAGUGAAAUUAGUGAAAAACUUUUUUAAUUAUAUAGAAGUUUGUGACCAUUCCUCAUUCAAGAAUUUAUAAGUCCAUAUAAAAUGUCCAAAAAUCUCAAUUGCAAUCUCGAAAGUGCACAAAGUACUGUAGUUUAUUGUCCUACUAUCUAGAUAGGAAUCAUGUAGGAUAUGAAAUUUGGGUUUCAUCCUUGAAUCGGCAGGUAAUGUAAUUCUGUGUACUCUAUUCCACACAAUAUCCUGAAUUGAUCGAAGUAGAUUUGCUUUACCAUUGAUAGUGGUAUCUGAUAUAGCUGAUAUAUUUCUUUUCUGAAUCACAGUAAAUAAAAUUUUUAUU